This 582-nucleotide ribosomal RNA is filed under the name uncultured Dechloromonas sp. RNAcentral describes it as "bacterial SSU rRNA". It matches the Rfam family "Bacterial small subunit ribosomal RNA", at positions 949 to 1530 of the family's 1533-position model. Lineage: Bacteria; Pseudomonadati; Pseudomonadota; Betaproteobacteria; Rhodocyclales; Azonexaceae. The record is from RNAcentral.
AUUCGAUGCAACGCGAAAANCCUUACCUACCCUUGACAUGUCAGAAACUUGGCAGAGAUGCCUUGGUACCCGAAAGGGAAUCUGAACACAGGUGCUGCAUGGCUGUCGUCAGCUCGUGUCGUGAGAUGUUGGGUUAAGUCCCGCAACGAGCGCAACCCUUGUCGUUAAUUGCCAUCAUUUAGUUGGGCACUUUAACGAGACUGCCGGUGACAAACCGGAGGAAGGUGGGGAUGACGUCAAGUCCUCAUGGCCCUUAUGGGUAGGACUUCACACGUCAUACAAUGGUCGGUACAGAGGGUUGCCAAGCCGCGAGGUGGAGCCAAUCCCAGAAAGCCGAUCGUAGUCCGGAUUGCAGGCUGCAACUCGCCUGCAUGAAGUCGGAAUCGCUAGUAAUCGCGGAUCAGCAUGUCGCGGUGAAUACGUUCCCGGGUCUUGUACACACCGCCCGUCACACCAUGGGAGCGGGUUCCGCCAGAAGUAGGUAGCCUAACCGCAAGGGGGGCGCUUACCACGGCGGGGUUCGUGACUGGGGUGAAGUCGUAACAAGGUAGCCGUAGGGGAACCUGCGGCUGGAUCACCUCC